Molecule: ribosomal RNA, 502 nt
Filed under: Staphylococcus aureus
Lineage: Bacteria; Bacillati; Bacillota; Bacilli; Caryophanales; Staphylococcaceae
Description: partial 23S ribosomal RNA
Rfam family: Bacterial large subunit ribosomal RNA
Source: RNAcentral
GGUUCUCUCCGAAAUAGCUUUAGGGCUAGCCUCAAGUGAUGAUUAUUGGAGGUAGAGCACUGUUUGGACGAGGGGCCCCUCUCGGGUUACCGAAUUCAGACAAACUCCGAAUGCCAAUUAAUUUAACUUGGGAGUCAGAACAUGGGUGAUAAGGUCCGUGUUCGAAAGGGAAACAGCCCAGACCACCAGCUAAGGUCCCAAAAUAUAUGUUAAGUGGAAAAGGAUGUGGCGUUGCCCAGACAACUAGGAUGUUGGCUUAGAAGCAGCCAUCAUUUAAAGAGUGCGUAAUAGCUCACUAGUCGAGUGACACUGCGCCGAAAAUGUACCGGGGCUAAACAUAUUACCGAAGCUGUGGAUUGUCCUUUGGACAAUGGUAGGAGAGCGUUCUAAGGGCGUUGAAGCAUGAUCGUAAGGACAUGUGGAGCGCUUAGAAGUGAGAAUGCCGGUGUGAGUAGCGAAAGACGGGUGAGAAUCCCGUCCACCGAUUGACUAAGGUUUCCAG